CUCUGUGACUCUACGGGAGGCAGCAGUGGGGAAUAUUGCACAAUGGGCGCAAGCCUGAUGCAGCCAUGCCGCGUGUGUGAAGAAGGCCUUCGGGUUGUAAAGCACUUUCAGUUGUGAGGAAGGUGGUGUCGUUAAUAGCGGCAUCAUUUGACGUUAGCAACAGAAGAAGCACCGGCUAACUCCGUGCCAGCAGCCGCGGUAAUACGGAGGGUGCGAGCGUUAAUCGGAAUUACUGGGCGUAAAGCGCAUGCAGGUGGUUUGUUAAGUCAGAUGUGAAAGCCCGGGGCUCAACCUCGGAACUGCAUUUGAAACUGGCAGACUAGAGUACUGUAGAGGGGGUAGAAUUUCAGGUGUAGCGGUGAAAUGCGUAGAGAUCUGAAGGAAUACCGGUGGCGAAGGCGGCCCCCUGGACAGAUACUGACACUCAGAUGCGAAAGCGUGGGGAGCAAACAGGAUUAGAUACCCUGGUGA
Molecule: ribosomal RNA, 471 nt
Filed under: uncultured bacterium
Lineage: Bacteria
Description: bacterial SSU rRNA
Rfam family: Bacterial small subunit ribosomal RNA
Source: RNAcentral